UGUAAUCAGAGCAGGUAUCAGGCCCAACAACGUUAGCCCAUCACACCUUGCCAAGCCACAUCCCCACGGAUUACACAGCAGUGACCAACAUUAGGCAAUAAGCACACAAAGCUUGACCUAGCUAAAAUUUUCCCCGGCCGGCAAAUCUCGUGCCAGCAGCCGCGGUUACACGGGAGGCCAAAGAUAACACACCUUCGGCGUAAAGAGUGACUACGAAUUUUCCCAUCCCCGGAUCUUAAAAUUUUACCUCAGAGAUGAAAUCCUAAGGUAUUCAGAGCCUCAAAAUAUCCUAAGAACAGGCCAUCCAACUCACGAAAAUCGGGGCACNNACUAGGAUU
This 338-nucleotide ribosomal RNA is filed under the name Varanus salvadorii. RNAcentral describes it as "partial 12S ribosomal RNA". Lineage: Eukaryota; Metazoa; Chordata; Lepidosauria; Squamata; Varanidae. The record is from RNAcentral.